Long non-coding RNA from Cyprinus carpio (common carp), 1405 nucleotides. The record is from Ensembl. NCBI's taxonomy places the organism in Eukaryota, Metazoa, Chordata, Actinopteri, Cypriniformes, Cyprinidae.
GUGAAGACAUUACAGGGUCAGUGCACUCAACAAGGGCAAGAGUUGAGUGACAUGCAGGCCACACUGAACCAUGAAGAGCACAGAGAGGAGGAAAUGAGAAAGGAGACCUUUACUCUCAGACAAAGGGUACUGGAAAGCGAUGCUGGCAGAGAAGCAACUCUGAAGGAGGUACAACACAAACACUGGCAUAAAUAUAGAAUCCACACUCACAUGCAGUAACACACUUAAACUGUUGGAACUGGUCUGUCUGUUAAAAGGCUGCAGGUUUGCAGCGGCAUGUAGCAGAACUGGAAGAAGCACAGUGCCAGGAGAAAGAGGUGCAGCAACAAUGGCAUGAUAAUCUUCAGGAGAGCCAAGUGAAGCAGUGUGUGGAGGUUGCUCGCUUGGAGUGGGCACUGCAGGAGGCCCAGGCCCAGCUCAAGGAGCUUGGGCUGAAGGUGAGUCUAGCAGAGGCCCGGGCCCAGGGGCUGGAAGAGCAGCUGGGACAGAAUGAAGCCAUAUGGAGAAAUCUUGAGCACAGGUUGAAUGUUCUCAGUUCUACCCUAAGACGUACACUUGGAAGCGGACGUGGAAGACAGUCGCCCGCACCAUGGAGAACUCGAUCUGGGGAACAGACGGAGUCAAUCACCAUGGAGAACUCGAUCACCUGUGAAAGGUAAUGCAUUCUCAGUCCAAUAAUGAAUUGGGUCUCUGUAGCAAAGGUCAAGAAGAAGAUCACCACUCUUAUAUUACAAAGGAUUCUUUUCUUAAUAUCUAAAGGUUAUUUAACAAUGUGCUGCUAAAACUUACAUGGUGUUCUAAGUUACUUGUGAGAAGAAUUAAAUAAAACCUUCUGUGUAUACCCUCAGGUGAAAUUAUGUCAGAUGAACCUGGGGUGAGUGGAUUGCCGGUGUGUUCUCUGUCCCCCUCCCGCAGAGAGGAAGGAGAAUUGGAUUUGGACUCAGUUCACAUGUUGCUGCGUAGCUUCCAGCAAGAGCUCAGGGACACAGAGAGAGAGCGGGAUGAGGCACAAGCACAAGAUGAGGCGGUUCAGCGUGGGGAGUUACAGAAUAGGAUUAUGAGUGAAGAGCUGGCCAAAAUGAAGAACAGCCAACAGAUAACUGAGGCAGAGGCCAAAGCACUGCAGGUUAACACUCAUAUAUUCUACACUAACACAAAGAUAGUUUGCAGAGUUCAGUGCAGGAGUGAUCAGCAACUUUUCAGGACAGAAGUUAAACACUGUUUUAAAAGAUGUAUGCAUUAUCAUUACACAUGUUUGGGGAAAAAAGUUUUUUACUCCACUAUGAAAACACUGAAUGGGAUUUUUACUUCUGGAAUCCAAGCGAUGCACCAACUCUCUCACACAGCACCACAGUCAGAUAUAACGAGUAGGAAUUAUCAAGUGUUCACUGCCACUCCACAAUAA